AUUGAACGCUGGCGGCAGGCUUAACACAUGCAAGUCGAGCGGGGGAAGGUAGCUUGCUACCGGACCUAGCGGCGGACGGGUGAGUAAUGCUUAGGAAUCUGCCUAUUAGUGGGGGACAACGUCUCGAAAGGGAUGCUAAUACCGCAUACGUCCUACGGGAGAAAGCAGGGGAUCUUCGGACCUUGCGCUAAUAGAUGAGCCUAAGUCGGAUUAGCUAGUUGGUGGGGUAAAGGCCUACCAAGGCGACGAUCUGUAGCGGGUCUGAGAGGAUGAUCCGCCACACUGGGACCGAGACACGGCCCAGACUCCUACGGGGGGUAGCAGUGGGGAAUAUGGGACAAUGGGGGGAACCCUGAUCCAGCCAUGCCGCGUGUGUGAAGAAGGCCUUAUGGUUGUAAAGCACUUUAAGCGAGGAGGAGGCUACUUUAGUUAAUACCUAGAGAUAGUGGACGUUACUCGCAGAAUAAGCACCGGCUAACUCUGUGCCAGCCGCCGCCGUAA
This 501-nucleotide ribosomal RNA is filed under the name uncultured bacterium. Its description in RNAcentral is "partial 16S ribosomal RNA". It matches the Rfam family "Bacterial small subunit ribosomal RNA", at positions 30 to 523 of the family's 1533-position model. The record is from RNAcentral.